UACGUAGGGCGCGAGCGUUGUCCGGAUUUAUUGGGCGUAAAGAGCUCGUAGGCGGCUUGUCGCGUCGACUGUGAAAACCCGAGGCUCAACUUCGGGCUUGCAGUCGAUACGGGCAGGCUAGAGUUCGGUAGGGGAGACUGGAAUUCCUGGUGUAGCGGUGAAAUGCGCAGAUAUCAGGAGGAACACCGAUGGCGAAGGCAGGUCUCUGGGCCGAUACUGACGCUGAGGAGCGAAAGCGUGGGGAGCGAACAGG
RNAcentral lists this ribosomal RNA (253 nucleotides) under uncultured bacterium. RNAcentral describes it as "partial 16S ribosomal RNA". It matches the Rfam family "Bacterial small subunit ribosomal RNA", at positions 524 to 776 of the family's 1533-position model. The record is from RNAcentral.